UACGUAGGGGGCAAGCGUUGUCCGGAAUCAUUGGGCGUAAAGCGCGCGUAGGCGGCCCGGUAAGUCCGUUGUGAAAGUCAAAGGCUCAACCUUUGAACGCCGAUGGAUACUGCCGGGCUAGAGUCCGGAAGAGGCGAGUGGAAUUCCUGGUGUAGCGGUGGAAUGCGCAGAUAUCAGGAGGAACACCAGUGGCGAAGGCGGCUCUCUGGACCGGUUCUGACGCUCAGGCGCGAAAGCGUGGGGAGCGAUCCGG
Molecule: ribosomal RNA, 253 nt
Filed under: uncultured bacterium
Lineage: Bacteria
Description: partial 16S ribosomal RNA
Rfam family: Bacterial small subunit ribosomal RNA
Source: RNAcentral